This 254-nucleotide long non-coding RNA is filed under the name Panax ginseng (ginseng). RNAcentral's name for it is "long non-coding RNA (PGIN_LNC013532)". Lineage: Eukaryota; Viridiplantae; Streptophyta; Magnoliopsida; Apiales; Araliaceae. The record is from RNAcentral.
AAGGUAAUGAAUAUUUCAUCUAUGUUAAAAUUAGAUAUGUGACGCUCUCAAAAUAGGUCCAUUCCACCCAACCCAUUCUGAGUCGCCAAAUACAUGGUACAGUAAUAACUACAACUUUAAUAAUACACAUGUCGUGUGAAAUACGACAAUACAUACUGUGAGUUUAAAUACAGAUAUUGCCGUCUAGACAAUAUCCACACGCAAAUAAAUCCCCAUCAUAAUUAUUGAUACAUUAUUUUACAAAAAUGGUGAGG